RNAcentral lists this ribosomal RNA (349 nucleotides) under uncultured bacterium. Its description in RNAcentral is "partial 16S ribosomal RNA". It matches the Rfam family "Bacterial small subunit ribosomal RNA", at positions 338 to 704 of the family's 1533-position model. The record is from RNAcentral.
CCUACGGGAGGCUGCAGUGGGGAAUAUUGCACAAUGGGGGAAACCCUGAUGCAGCGACGCCGCGUGAGUGAAGAAGGAUCUCGGUAUGUAAAGCUCUAUCAGCAGGGAAGAAAAUGACGGUACCUGACUAAGAAGCCGCGGCUAACUACGGGCCAGCAGCCGCGGUAAGACGUAGGGGGCAAGCGUUAUCCGGAUUUACUGGGUGUAAAGGGAGCGUAGACGGCGCUGCAAGUCCGGAGUGAAAGCCCAUGGCUUAACCCUGGUACUGCGCUGGAAACGGUGGAGCUUGCGUGCGGGAGGGGCAGGCGGACUUCCUCGUGUCGCUGUGCAAUUCGUAGAUCUUAGGAGG